UUUUGAAGGUGUGACCCUUUUUGUUCAUUUCUUCAGCAGUUACUUUUUAUUUUUUAAAUGUUUGACACACAGUCUCUGAUAAAUGAUCAUUCACCAAUCACCGAUUACUCUCCUUGCUCUGUUAAGUGUGACACUGUCCCUUUGAGAAUCUGGCGACAGCUAUGUAUCCCAUCACCACACACCCCAAAAAAAAAAUUUAUGUCUGGUUCCAGGAGUUACCUUUUAUGAGAAGUCCAUCUGUGAAGACCCUGGAUGUUCAGAGAACUUCCUGGGAAAACACUGAAAGAAAAUAAAGAGGCCGGGCCCGGUGGCUCAUGCUUGUAAUCCCAGCACUUUGGGAGGCUGAGGUGGGCAGAUAAGCUGAGGUCAGGAGUUCCAGACCAGCCUGGCCAACGUGGCGAAACCCCAUCUACUAAAAAUACAAAAAUUAGCUGGGCGUCGUGGCGCAUGCCUGUAGUUGCAGCUACUUGGGAGGCUGAGGCAGGAGAAUUGCUUGAACCCAGGAGGCAGAGGUUGCAGUGAACCAAGAUCAUGCUAGUACACUCCAGCCUGGGCAACAGAGUGAGACUCCAUCUCAAAAAUAAAAUAAAUAAAACAAAAUAAAAUAAAUACAAUUUCUGUUUCUAGCCCCUAAGUGGUAGCACUGGGUCUUGUUCCCUGAAAAAAACUAGGCUCAGAAUCCACUCUCAUUUCAUCUCCCCUGAUUUGAUCUGAAAAGAUUUUGUUUAGAGUACUACAUGAAUAUAUUAUAAAACAUGGGACAAUCAGAAUUGAUAGUAAGAAGGCAAGUGGCUCUAUUUGUACUUCCUCUCAAUAGCUCCUAAAGGUAAUGCUACCAUUUUCUGUUUGUACAUAGUCUUCCAGACUUUAAAUUUUUGAACAUAUAAAUAUUAUCAUCUUAAAGACGUAUGGAAAAAACCAUUUUGAAUAGGUUAUUCCAAAAUGUAAUUUAACAGAUUGCUCUGGAGGAUUGUUUGUUUGUUUGUUUUGGAGACAGAGUCCCGCUUGGUUGCUCAGGCUGCAGUGCAGUGGCACAAACACAGCUCACUGCAACCUCUAACUCCUGCAAACACAGCUCACUGCAACCUCUAACUCCUGCAAACACAGCUCACUGCAACCUCUAACUCCUGCAAACACAGCUCACUGCAACCUCUAACUCCUGCAAACACAGCUCACUGCAACCUCUAACUCCUGGGCUCAAGCAGUCCUUUCACCUCAGCCUCCUGAGUAGCUGGACCAUGACACCUACCUAACUUUUUAUUUUUUGUAAAGAGGGGAAUCACUAUGUUGCCCAGGCUGGUCUCAAACUCCUGGGCUCAAGCAAUCCUUCCUCAGCCUCUCAAAGAGUUGGGUUUACAGGCGUGAGCCACCGCACCUGGCUCCUGGAGCAUUUCUGAUGUGAACAUGUGCUGAUCUAACACCACUCCUUUUACCAGCUGCCUGUUCUAGAGCAAACCAUCUUUUUUGAGCAUUCCACUUUGGCUAGGCCCUUAGGCUGUUAGCAGUUUUCAUCGCUACUGGCAAAGCUGCAGUGGACGUUCUCCUGCACAUAUAACCUCUUGAUGCCACUGUAUGAGUGAGUCUCUGCAAAAUGAGAAGUAGAAUUGCUGGGGUGAAAGGCAUACAUACUAACUUUUUUGAUUAAUUCCACCCAUGUACCCUGAUUUGGGCAGAAUUUUAAUCUCACUGUGAAAUCAGAGCUUUGUUCUAGAGCCUUUCUUGGGGGUUCCAUGGAUCAGUGGGUCAGCCGUCACUUGUGCCCUGGCCCAUCCUCUGUCCAGCUUGGGCAGCAUGCAUCAUUCAUUCUGAUUCCUUAAUUUGCCAUAUGUGAAAACAUGGUAAUCUAUACAUUACUUGGGUGCUAUUAUUAUAUAUAACUAGCUUUGGAGUCAGAAUUAGCGUCUCAUCCUGGCUCUACCACUUUCCAACUGUGCGACUGUGGCCAAGUGACUCCCCUUCUCUGAGCCUCAGUUUUCCUCUUCUGUAAAAUGGGGGUAAAGGGAUAAGAACUAUAGGGGGAUCUCAGGGGAUGGUUAAGAGAAAUCCAUGAGAUAAGCAAACACAUUAUCUAGUUUAGUAAAGCUAAGCAAUGAAGACUUAACAGCCCCAUGGUGAAGGCUUAAUACAUGGUAGCUAUAAUGAUUACUAUUAAUAUUGUGAAAUAAAAGGUUGUGAUGAACC
This 2181-nucleotide long non-coding RNA is filed under the name Homo sapiens (human). RNAcentral describes it as "non-protein coding lnc-TPST2-1:2". Lineage: Eukaryota; Metazoa; Chordata; Mammalia; Primates; Hominidae. The record is from RNAcentral.